GGAGGAAAAAAAAUAUUAAUACUGAGAUUAAUCAUAAUUGGGAACAAUAACCCAGCAAGCCAAUCCUACAAAGUAUGAAAACAAAAACACACCCUUGAAGCUGCCCAUCAGCAGUCAUUUUUGGUGACAAAAAAUAUUGUUUCAAUCCUCCCAAUUUUAUUCCAUCAUCCCCACUUGUUUUCCAGGUUAAAAAUAACCCAAUGACAGAUCAAUCAUGAUUUGGCGUUACAUCCAUUCAACACGUGUCAACAACCCAGACUGUGGCCCACCCAAUGUUGACAACAUCAGAUCACCAUGUUUUGUUUUUUUUGGUCUGAAAUUUGAUGAUCAAAUUCAAAAAUAUCUACAAACCUUGAAUUAAAGAACUGAAGGCGUAAUUAAUCAGUUAACCCAAAGCACUAAAUCCACCACCUUUCAUCAUUUGCUUAAACUCCUUGAAAUUGACCAUUCCAUCACCAUCAACAUCCACCUUCAUGAUCAUAGUCUUGCAAUCUUCUAAAGUCCUCCCUUGUUUAACCCCAAGAGCAGCCAACACAGAUCUCAACUCAUCAACACUAAUAUACCCAUCACCAUUUUGAUCAAACACAUUGAAGGCUUCUUUCAUGUCCUCCUCCUCGUCACGCUCAUCCAUAAUAGAUUGAUACAAAGCACCGAACUCAUCAAUGUCGACACACCCAUCACCAUUAACAUCUAUAUUCUGUAUCAUCUGGGUCAACUCCAGAUCAGGGAUAAAGAUACCCAGAUUCUCCAACGAGUCAUUCAACUCCUUCUUGGUGAUGCGACCAUCCCCAUUUCUAUCAAACAUCUGGAAAACGCGUGCGAGCUCUACUGAGUCCAUUCUUUUUCUGACAACGGCAGCGGCGGAGGAGGAGGAGGAGGGGGGAAGUGUUUGUUGUUUAAAGAGGGAAUUGCCUUGGUGGGAGCACCAAGAAGAAGGAAGAAAGAAGGUCCUGAGCUUCUUGGGGAUCAAAUAGAGAAGGAAAGAAUUAAGAAGAUUGUAAAGAAGGAAAAUAGUUAGCAAAAUAGUUGGCAUUUAGAGGAGUGUGGAGAGAUUGGUGUGUUGGGUGAUGUUUGUUAUUUGUUGAGAAGAUUUUGGAGACUAAUUUUGGUCCCUUUCUUGCAUUGGGUAGCAAGGCAUGUUGGAUCCCAAAUAUAUAAAAUAAAUAAAUUAUUAGGUCUUGGGUGUGUUGUCUUUAUUCUUUAGAGCUGGUUUUGGCUUUUGCUUUUUGCUUUUGGCUUUUUGCUUUUGGUUGCUUGCUUGGACUUUGCAC
Molecule: unclassified non-coding RNA, 1271 nt
Filed under: Hevea brasiliensis (rubber tree)
Lineage: Eukaryota; Viridiplantae; Streptophyta; Magnoliopsida; Malpighiales; Euphorbiaceae
Source: RNAcentral